CAGGUGCUAGCGCUCCUCUCCUCCCUUCUUUUCACCGCUGCGUCUCUCCGCGCAGAGUCGCGUACCCACAUCUCUGUACACAUACACAACACACGCUCGCACUCCACAGGCCAAACGGUGCUGCACUCAAACAUCGCAGCAACAACAAUACAAAAGCCUUUUCAGGCGCCCCGCCUCAACGUACGGCAACGAGACCAACGGAGGAGGAGGCGUUCGACUUGCACACCACUGUUAGUGCGCACUUCAGCAACCCAUCACCAACCCCGUCGCACUCCUUAACUGGGGCUGUCUCUCCUCCUCCCCUUGCCCUCUCUAGGUUUGCUGCGGACAGGUGCAGACGCAGACACCAUACUAUCGUGAAGGCGUGCGCGCAUAGAUAUUAGAGGUACCUCUCCUCCUCUCCCUCCGCCGGCCGCGACCAGCACGCUGGAGUCGAAAGGAAGCAAACGCCAGCAACUUGCACUAGAGGAAAGUCGGCAGCCGCAAUCACCUCUCCUGUGCUGCCUCCCGCAUCCAUCUUUGUUGCUGCUGUUUGCCACUAUCCGCCACUGCACCGCCCACCACGGCCGCCGUUGCGUUGCGAGUCUGCGAACUUCAAAGGCGGUGGAGCAAACCACAGAGAGACGGAGGCGCACGUGCGCGCACGCACGCAUACGAGCUCGCACAAGCCCAGAGCGAAACGCCCUCUGCCCCCUCCCUAAACCCCUCCCUCGCGGCUCUGUGCUGUGGGCCGCGCCACUCACCGACUCUCUGCUCCGUCUCUUAGCGGGUGUGUAUUUUGUUUUCUGAAGACGGUCGGUCUCUGUCCGUGUCGGUCUGUCUGGAGUGUCCGUACGCUUGUGGGGAGUGCACGGGCGGCUGCUCUUCCAAGCUCACACAUACGCACACUCUUCUGCUUUGGUGUUGGUCUUUCUCUUCCCCUCCUACUCUUUAACUGGUGUCUGUGUCUGUGCCUGUGCCUGUGGGCAUUCGUUACCGUGGUAGUGCUGCCACUGCUUUAUCGUCAUCUCUUCACGUUUCGCCCUCACACCUUUCUCUCUAGUGCUUGGGUUUCGGGUGGAGAGAGGGGGGUGGCGCGUGCCUGUACACUACGUUGAAGGGCGCUCGACCGCCGUGUCUCCGCCCCGUCACUGUCACGCUCUUCGUGCUGUAUUGCGUUGUGCGCCUCGUCGCUGCUGGUUUGGUUCGGUUGUUUUUUUUUUGGUUCAUUGCCAUUCUUUUCUUGCUUUCACCAUAUCUCCUUCACUCCCCCCCCUCCUGCCCUCUGCCCUCGUUAUUAUCGCCUCUGGCCCGCUGCAAG
This 1300-nucleotide unclassified non-coding RNA is filed under the name Leishmania donovani. Its description in RNAcentral is "gene:unknown". The record is from RNAcentral. Lineage: Eukaryota; Euglenozoa; Kinetoplastea; Trypanosomatida; Trypanosomatidae.